Long non-coding RNA from Colias croceus (clouded yellow), 683 nucleotides. RefSeq lists it as uncharacterized. Lineage: Eukaryota; Metazoa; Arthropoda; Insecta; Lepidoptera; Pieridae. The transcript is spliced from 3 exons. The record is from RefSeq and is a predicted model, not a curated record.
ACGACGUUCGACCCAACUACCUUCACUUUGCUAAUAGUCGUUGACUUGCUGCGUUUUGUUAUCAACUACCUACAUCAAUUAGGUAGCUGUGUAGAAUCGCAGUACAUUCUUAUUACAUUCAAACCAAUAUUUAACCCGGCCUCGCGUGUUAUUUCUUACAUCAGAAGCGGGAUAGAAUUCAAGCCCAUACUUUUUAAAUGUGUUUGAGUUUACGUAGUUUUGUAACGGCAUACUGGCGUUUGUGUUUUUUCGUGCGUUGUGUGAAGUAAAAGUUUGUUGCGUGGAUUAUUGUAACGGGAAUGUAGUUCAUCGAAGGAAUUGUGUGUGCUAUCCGGACUGCGCCCUGCGGUUCGGGGUAGUUGAGCCUUCAUUUGUGUUAAGCGAACGUCGUGCCUAUGUCACAAAUGAGUAGGCGUUGUUCCCAUGAUACGCGAACGUAGUGCCUAUGUCAUGUGGAUGUGAUUGUUGUUCUGUAAGGUCAGUGUGGCCGAGGCAGGAUGGUUAAUGUGUAAUCCCGAGAUGAACUACCGUUGUACUGUAAUACGAGAAAAAGGCGUACGAGGACGUACGAUUGUCAGUAUGGCCGUGUUAGACGUAACUUUUGAUUUAAUAUUUUUGUGGAUGAAUAGUUGUCAACAUACUUCGUUGACUUGCUGCGUUUUGUUAUCAACUACCUACAUCAA